GACGAACGCUGGCGGCGUGCUUAACACAUGCAAGUCGAACGGAAAGGCCCUGCUUUUGUGGGGUGCUCGAGUGGCGAACGGGCGAGUAACACGUGAGUAACCUGCCCUUGACUUUGGGAUAACUUCAGGAAACUGGGGCUAAUACCGGAUAGGAGCUCCUGCUGCAUGGUGGGGGUUGGAAAGUUUCGGCGGUUGGGGAUGGACUCGCGGCUUAUCAGCUUGUUGGUGGGGUAGUGGCUUACCAAGGCUUUGACGGGUAGCCGGCCUGAGAGGGUGACCGGCCACAAUGGGACUGGAGAUACGCCCAAACUCCUUCGGGAGGCAGCAGUGGGGAAUAUUGCACAAUGGGCGGAAGCCUGAUGCAGCAACGCCGCGUGCGGGAUGACGGCCUUCGGGUUGUAAACCGCUUUCGCCUGUGACGAAGCGUGAGUGACGGUAAUGGGUAAAGAAGCACCGGCUAACUACGUG
RNAcentral lists this ribosomal RNA (468 nucleotides) under uncultured bacterium. RNAcentral describes it as "partial 16S ribosomal RNA". It matches the Rfam family "Bacterial small subunit ribosomal RNA", at positions 28 to 507 of the family's 1533-position model. The record is from RNAcentral.